GCGAGUGAAGCGGCAACAGCUCAAAUUUGAAAGCUGGCUUAGGCCCGCAUUGUAAUUUGCAGAGGAUGCUUCUGGCGAGGUGCCUUCCGAGUUCCCUGGAACGGGACGCCAUAGAGGGUGAGAGCCCCGUAUGGAUGGACACCAAACCUGUGUGAAGCUCCUUCAACGAGUCGAGUAGUUUGGGAAUGCUGCUCUAAAUGGGAGGUAAAUCUCUUCUAAAGCUAAAUACCGGCCAGAGACCGAUAGCGCACAAGUAGAGUGAUCGAAAGAUGAAAAGCACCUUGAAAAGGGGGUUAAACAGUACGUGAAAUUGUUGAAAGGGAAGCGCUUGUGACCAGACUUGCGCCGGGCAGCUCAUCAGGGGUUCUCCCCUGUGCACUCUGCCCGGCUCAGGCCAGCAUCGGUUCUCGUGGGAGGAUAAGAACGGUAGGAACGUGGCCCCCCUCCGGGGGGGUGUUAUAGCCUGCCGUACGAUACUCCCGUGGGGACCGAGGUUCGCGCUCCGCAAGGAUGC
RNAcentral lists this ribosomal RNA (514 nucleotides) under Cytospora sp. RM-2017b. RNAcentral's name for it is "eukaryotic LSU rRNA". It matches the Rfam family "Eukaryotic large subunit ribosomal RNA", at positions 89 to 626 of the family's 3401-position model. The record is from RNAcentral. Lineage: Eukaryota; Fungi; Ascomycota; Sordariomycetes; Diaporthales; Cytosporaceae.